Vidua macroura (Pin-tailed whydah) is the source of this 296-nucleotide long non-coding RNA. RefSeq lists it as uncharacterized. Lineage: Eukaryota; Metazoa; Chordata; Aves; Passeriformes; Viduidae. The record is from RefSeq and is a predicted model, not a curated record. The transcript is spliced from 3 exons.
GAGGAAUCACAGCCUCAGAGGGAUCUGCUGAAGGAAGCAGUUCCUCUGGCAGCGCCAAAGGUUUGCCGCCCGCAGCGGCCAGCCCACAGGGGUCUGGAGAAGCUGCUCCAGGAGUUCUCUCGCCAAGGGCACGCACUGUCCCAGGUGUGCAGAGAGAAGGCGGUGCUGGCGCAAGAGAACGCUGCCCUGGAAGCCCGACUGGCAGCCACGGAGCGGGACCUACGAGGCGUUUCAGAGCAGCUGGCAGAGGCCAGGUCAGAGAAGGAGAGCCUGCAAAGCAGCCUGCUGGAGGCUCA